Molecule: small nucleolar RNA, 127 nt
Filed under: Nannospalax galili (Upper Galilee mountains blind mole rat)
Lineage: Eukaryota; Metazoa; Chordata; Mammalia; Rodentia; Spalacidae
Description: Small nucleolar RNA SNORA40 (ENSNGAG00000003282.1)
Rfam family: Small nucleolar RNA SNORA40
About the family: The snoRNA ACA 40 belongs to the H/ACA family of snoRNAs and guides the pseudouridylation of 28S rRNA subunit at position U4565. NB This family has a high threshold value to exclude a large number of closely related sequences that do not appear to have conserved H and ACA boxes, and may be pseudogenes.
Source: Rfam by way of RNAcentral
UGCAAUUACUUUGUGUUUGUUCAACUGGGGAUAAAGGCAUGAAAGACAGGUGCAAAAAUAAAUCCUCUUUUCCAACCCAGAACUCAACUGUUCAGUAUGAGUUUUGAUACAUGUAAGAAGGAAUAUG